This 253-nucleotide ribosomal RNA is filed under the name uncultured bacterium. RNAcentral's name for it is "partial 16S ribosomal RNA". It matches the Rfam family "Bacterial small subunit ribosomal RNA", at positions 524 to 776 of the family's 1533-position model. The record is from RNAcentral.
GACGUAGGGGGCGAGCGUUGUCCGGAUUUAUUGGGCGUAAAGCGUGCGUAGGCGGCUGCGCAAGUCGGGUGUGAAACCCCGGGGCUCAACCCCGGAACUGCAUCCGAUACUGCGUGGCUAGAGGUAGGUAGGGGAGAUCGGAAUUCCUGGUGUAGCGGUGAAAUGCGCAGAUAUCAGGAGGAACACCGGUGGCGAAGGCGGAUCUCUGGGCCUUACCUGACGCUGAGGAGCGAAAGCGUGGGGAGCGAACAGG